RNAcentral lists this ribosomal RNA (253 nucleotides) under uncultured bacterium. RNAcentral describes it as "partial 16S ribosomal RNA". It matches the Rfam family "Bacterial small subunit ribosomal RNA", at positions 524 to 776 of the family's 1533-position model. The record is from RNAcentral.
UACGGAGGGGGCGAGCGUUGUCCGAAGUUACUGGGCGUGAAGCGCGCGUAGGCGGGUUGGUAAGUCCGCUGUGAAAGCCCGGAGCUUAACUCCGGAGGGUCGGUGGAUACUGCCAGUCUUGAAGGUGCUAGGGGGAGAUGGAAUUACCGGUGUAGCGGUGAAAUGCGUAGAUAUCGGUAGGAACACCAGUGGCGAAGGCGGUCUCCUGGGGCAUUCUUGACGCUGAGGCGCGAAAGCUGGGGGAGCAAACGGG